UUAGUUUACUAUUGGAGCGGUUAGUGGCGAACGGGUGAGUAACGCGUGAGGAACCUGCCUUUCAGUGGGGGACAACAGUUGGAAACGACUGCUAAUACCGCAUGACACUUUUGGGAGACAUCUCCUGGAAGUCAAAGCUUUAUGUGCUGAAAGAUGGCCUCGCGUCUGAUUAGCUAGUUGGUGAGAUAACAGCCCACCAAGGCGACGAUCAGUAGCCGACCUGAGAGGGUGACCGGCCACAUUGGGACUGAGACACGGCCCAGACUCC
RNAcentral lists this ribosomal RNA (268 nucleotides) under uncultured Bacillota bacterium. Its description in RNAcentral is "uncultured Firmicutes bacterium partial 16S ribosomal RNA". It matches the Rfam family "Bacterial small subunit ribosomal RNA", at positions 75 to 339 of the family's 1533-position model. The record is from RNAcentral. Lineage: Bacteria; Bacillati; Bacillota.